AGUAACGGCGAGUGAAGCGGCAACAGCUCAAAUUUGAAAUCUGGUCCCCAGGGCCCGAGUUGUAAUUUGUAGAGGAUGCUUUUGGCAGGGUGCCUUCCGAGUUCCCUGGAACGGGACGCCGUAAAGGGUGAGAGCCCCGUCUGGUCGGAUACCGAGCCUCUGUAAAGCUCCUUCGACGAGUCGAGUAGUUUGGGAAUGCUGCUCAAAAUGGGAGGUAUAUGUCUUCUAAAGCUAAAUAUUGGCCAGAGACCGAUAGCGCACAAGUAGAGUGAUCGAAAGAUGAAAAGCACUUUGAAAAGAGGGUUAAAAAGUACGUGAAAUUGUUGAAAGGGAAGCGCCUAUGACCAGACUUGGGCCCGGUGAAUCAUCCAGCGUUCUCGCUGGUGCACUUUGCCGGGCACAGGCCAGCAUCAGUUUGGCGCGGGGGAUAAAGGCUUUGGGAAUGUGGCUCCCUCGGGAGUGUUAUAGCCCAUUGUGCAAUACCCUGCGCCGGACUGAGGUACGCGCAUUUGCAAGGAUGCUGGCGUAAUGGUCAUCAGCGACCCGUCUUGAAACACGGACCAAGGAGUCGUCUUCGUAUGCGAGUGUUCGGGUGUCAAACCCCUACGCGUAAUGAAAGUGAACGCAGGUGAGAGCUUCGGCGCAUCAUCGACCGAUCCUGAUGUUCUCGGAUGGAUUUGAGUAAGAGCAUACGGGGCCGGACCCGAAAGAAGGUGAACUAUGCCUGUAUAGGGUGAAGCCAGAGGAAACUCUGGUGGAGGCUCGCAGCGGUUCUGACGUGCGAAUCGAUCGUCAAAUAUGGGCAAG
RNAcentral lists this ribosomal RNA (807 nucleotides) under Ophiocordyceps clavata. Its description in RNAcentral is "eukaryotic LSU rRNA". It matches the Rfam family "Eukaryotic large subunit ribosomal RNA", at positions 82 to 920 of the family's 3401-position model. Lineage: Eukaryota; Fungi; Ascomycota; Sordariomycetes; Hypocreales; Ophiocordycipitaceae. The record is from RNAcentral.